UAACAGGUCUUCGGAUGCUGACGAGUGGCGAACGGGUGAGUAAUACAUCGGAACGUGCCCGAGAGUGGGGGAUAACGAGGCGAAAGCUUUGCUAAUACCGCAUACGAUCUACGGAUGAAAGCAGGGGACCGCAAGGCCUUGCGCUCAUGGAGCGGCCGAUGGCAGAUUAGGUAGUUGGUGGGAUAAAAGCUUACCAAGCCGACGAUCUGUAGCUGGUCUGAGAGGAUGAUCAGCCACACUGGGACUGAGACACGGCCCAGACUCCUACGGGAGGCAGCAGUGGGGAAUUUUGGACAAUGGGCGAAAGCCUGAUCCAGCCAUGCCGCGUGCAGGAUGAAGGCCUUCGGGUUGUAAACUGCUUUUGUACGGAACGAAAAGACUCUUUCUAAUAAAGAGGGUCCAUGACGGUACCGUAAGAAUAAGCACCGGCUAACUACGUGCCAGCAGCCGCGGUAAUACGUAGGGUGCAAGCGUUAAUCGGAAUUACUGGGCGUAAAGCGUGCGCAGGCGGUUAUGUAAGACAGAUGUGAAAUCCCCGGGCUCAACCUGGGAACUGCAUUUGUGACUGCA
Molecule: ribosomal RNA, 570 nt
Filed under: bacterium RBM-E33
Lineage: Bacteria
Description: bacterial SSU rRNA
Rfam family: Bacterial small subunit ribosomal RNA
Source: RNAcentral